GUCGGGUGUGGUGGCUCACACCUGUAAUCCCAGCACUUUGGGAGGCUGAGGCAGGCGGAUCACUUGAGGUCAGGAGUUUGAGACCAGCCUGACCAACAUGGUGAAACCCUGUCUCUA
Molecule: unclassified non-coding RNA, 117 nt
Organism: Macaca fascicularis (crab-eating macaque)
Lineage: Eukaryota; Metazoa; Chordata; Mammalia; Primates; Cercopithecidae
Rfam family: Metazoan signal recognition particle RNA
About the family: The signal recognition particle (SRP) is a universally conserved ribonucleoprotein. It is involved in the co-translational targeting of proteins to membranes.
Source: Ensembl